AGUCGAACGAAGUCUUCGGACUUAGUGGCGCACGGGUGCGUAACGCGUGGGAAUCUGCCCUUGGGUACGGAAUAACUCAGAGAAAUUUGUGCUAAUACCGUAUAAUGUCUUCGGACCAAAGAUUUAUCGCCCAAGGAUGAGCCCGCGUAGGAUUAGCUAGUUGGUGAGGUAAAAGCUCACCAAGGCGACGAUCCUUAGCUGGUCUGAGAGGAUGAUCAGCCACACUGGGACUGAGACACGGCCCAGACUCCUACGGGAGGCAGCAGUGGGGAAUAUUGGACAAUGGGCGAAAGCCUGAUCCAGCAAUGCCGCGUGAGUGAUGAAGGCCUUAGGGUUGUAAAGCUCUUUUACCCGGGAUGAUAAUGACAGUACCGGGAGAAUAAGCUCCGGCUAACUCCGUGCCAGCAGCCGCGGUAAUACGGAGGGAGCUAGCGUUGUUCGGAAUUACUGGGCGUAAAGCGCGCGUAGGCGGUUUUUUAAGUCAGAGGUGAAAGCCCAGUGCUCAACACUGGAACUGCCUUUGAAACUGGAAAACUUGAAUCUUGGAGAGGUCAGUGGAAUUCCGAGUGUAGAGGUGAAAUUCGUAGAUAUUCGGAAGAACACCAGUGGCGAAGGCGACCGACUGGACAAGUAUUGACGCU
RNAcentral lists this ribosomal RNA (641 nucleotides) under uncultured Alphaproteobacteria bacterium. Its description in RNAcentral is "bacterial SSU rRNA". It matches the Rfam family "Bacterial small subunit ribosomal RNA", at positions 60 to 747 of the family's 1533-position model. Lineage: Bacteria; Pseudomonadati; Pseudomonadota; Alphaproteobacteria. The record is from RNAcentral.